Molecule: long non-coding RNA, 481 nt
Organism: Cynara cardunculus var. scolymus (artichoke)
Lineage: Eukaryota; Viridiplantae; Streptophyta; Magnoliopsida; Asterales; Asteraceae
Exons: 2
Source: RefSeq, a predicted model, not a curated record
AUAUCGGUAAGAAAUCUCCAAGAAGCGAAACCACAGAAAACUAGGUUUAGAAAUUCCAAUCGAAUCGGAGAACAAUAUGAAGAUCACUGUAAUGAUAGCUGAUGAACAGAUCAUUACAUCAGAAUUAGAUCGCGAAUCGGAGAUGAAUCCCUAUGGAGUACCUGAUCUUUGAUGUGAGUAACAGAGUGAUCUUGACUCAGGAGUGACCGGAAUAAGUUGCCGGACCGUUUAAGGGUGCGUCACCGGCCGAGAUCUGAAUUACGUCGGCGACAGGUGGAAGAGAAGAGAUGCUGAAUCGGUAAGCUGCUUAAACCAGUGACACUAGUGAGAUUGCAAAUUUUUUGCUGUCAUACUCAUUACUGAAAUCACUGAAAUGCUUUCUGCUUACAAGAGAAGCUUUUAUUUAUGAAUGCAUAGUUUUUAUGCUGUAGAUUUUGAUCUUCCAUCAAUGAAAUUCAGGGGCUGAUUACUUUUCUUCUUC